RNAcentral lists this ribosomal RNA (460 nucleotides) under uncultured bacterium. RNAcentral describes it as "partial 16S ribosomal RNA". It matches the Rfam family "Bacterial small subunit ribosomal RNA", at positions 338 to 795 of the family's 1533-position model. The record is from RNAcentral.
CCUACGGGAGGCAGCAGUGAGGAAUAUUGGUCAAUGGGCGCAAGCCUGAACCAGCCAAGUAGCGUGAAGGAUGACUGCCCUACGGGUUGUAAACUUCUUUUAUAAGGGAGUAAAGUGAGGCACGUGUGCCUUUUUGUAUGUACUUUAUGAAUAAGGCUCGGCUAACUCCGUGCCCGCAGCCGCGGUAAUACGGAGGAUCCGAGCGUUAUCCGGAUUUAUUGGGGUUAAAGGGAGCGUAGAUGGGUUGGUAAGUCAGUUGUGAAAGUGUGCGGGUCAACCGUCAAAUUGCAAUUGAUACUGGCAGCCUUGAGUACAGUUGAGGUAGGCGGAAUUCGUGGUGUAGCGGUGAAAUGCGUAGAUAUCACGAAGAACUCCGAUUGCGAAGGCAGCUUACUAAACUGCAACUGACAUUGAUGCUCGAAAGUGUGGGGAUCAAACAGGAUUAGAUACCCGAGUAGUC